ACAACUCCACCACCCAUAGACGAAGUUCGAUGUCCUCAUCGAACGGUGAACAAUUUUAUAAAGUAACACCCGCAUGUGUUACCAUUUCCAUCCUUGGCGCGUAGCCAAUAUUUGUUAAUGGUGUGACAUUGAAGGCUCACCAUGCCUUCUCCAUAUUCGUCAAUGGUUGGACAUUGAAGGCUCACCAUGCCUUCUCCAUAUUCGUCAAUGGUUGGACAUUGAAGGCUCACCAUGCCUUUUGCAUAUCCUCUAAGGAGGGUAGUCUCUCCAACUUAGAGACUGAUUGGACCACAUAUAGUGGUUCUCUCCUUUUAUUGGUUUAGUUCUCGCUAAACCUCUUAGAGACCCUUCUCU
RNAcentral lists this long non-coding RNA (354 nucleotides) under Selaginella moellendorffii. RNAcentral describes it as "long non-coding RNA (SMOE_LNC001048)". Lineage: Eukaryota; Viridiplantae; Streptophyta; Lycopodiopsida; Selaginellales; Selaginellaceae. The record is from RNAcentral.